RNAcentral lists this long non-coding RNA (2672 nucleotides) under Gossypium barbadense (sea-island cotton). RNAcentral describes it as "long non-coding RNA (GBAR_LNC019297)". Lineage: Eukaryota; Viridiplantae; Streptophyta; Magnoliopsida; Malvales; Malvaceae. The record is from RNAcentral.
AGUAUAAUCACAAAUAAUAAAUUUUUAUUUUUUUACUCAAAAAGAAAUGUAGUUAGGAAGGAAGGUAAUUGUUAUACACAAAUAUCUAUCCUAUCACAUCAUCCUUACCCUACACAUGAUUAGGGAUCAUUACAGAAGUCCUCUUUUUGUAACUCUUUUAACUGAGCUUCACGAUACUUCUUCAUAGCUUCUCAACCCUCAAAUCAGCCUGUUGAUUUGAAUUAGCUGUUAAUAUGAAAAAGAAAUAAUAGAGUAUGAGCAAAAAGUUAUAGUGAAAGUGUAUUAUAAAGAUAAGCCCACCAUUUGUCAACUCAAUCUUUAGUGAAGAAUAUUUGCUUUUGUAUUUCAAAGACACCGCUAAAUUCUCCCUCUGAAAACCUAGUUUACAAAACUAAUCACAAAAGGUUUUACUAUCUCAAAAUUUUACAAUGAAUUGAUAAAUGCUCUCAAUAUCCGGUACAUAAACCUAUACAAGCUUUUGAAAUAUAUAGAAAUUUUUUCAAGACUUGCUAACAUAUUAAAAACCAAUCACAAUCUCUUCUAAAGAACAAGUGAAAUAGCUAAAUACAAUGUUAUAAUAAUGACCAAAGCAAAGGGAUUGUUAGACGAUAAGUCUUCAAGUUUUGUCCCAAUCCAAUAUACCUGAUCUAAAGGAUUUGGUACAAUCUAUCCGAUCCUAAAGAUAUUUUUAUUCAAGAGAAUUGAUAUUCAUUGAUGAGUUUGAAUAAUCUCAUGAUAUCAAUAUAGCCCAAAGAUUCGUUUCAAUAAAUUGACAACCUUCCGAAUAAGGCAAGUUGAUCUCUAUUGCAGUGAUGAUGAAAGUGAGCACUUCCAUUAGUACAUUGUCGUUACUUCAAAACUUGCUCAACACAAUCAUUUGCGACUCUCAAGCUAUCGAGUGAACAACCUUUGAUUUUCUCAUCACAUUUUUAUGCCAACAAUAAUGUAACAUUAAUUGAUUCUUUUGUGACUCUCAAGCCAUCUUAUAAAUUGCCUCUAACUUCCUCGUCACAUUUUUCAUUAACAAUAAUGUACAAACCAACUAAAUUUUUUUAAAAAAAAUCCAUGUAACACCCCUAACACAUAUCCAUCGCCAGAAUAGGGUUAAAGGGCAUUACCGGAGUUUACAAAUUAAUUUACAAACAUUUCAUUAUUUCAUCAAGCAUUCAUAUUUAUAACCAAUCAAAAUCAAAACAUUAAUGAGCUAACGUUGGCCAAUUUAACUUAUUCAUGCCAUUAUAACCAGAAUCAAAUCAUCCAAAAUUACUGAUAGAACCAAUGGAUAGUGUGAUAAACAUUCAUACAUCCAUUCAAUGCAUUAUUCCCCUUUUUAUCAAAUAUAUCAAUGUUUCAUCAAUUUUCAUACAAUGAACAUUCAAAUCAUAUUCACAUCAAUAACAUACAUUUCAAGCAUUUAAGAAUAUAAUUCAAGUUACACGAACUUACCAGACUAAAUUGCAGAAAUACCAAAAAUUCAGGGACAUUUUGGUAAUUUUCUAUUUUCCUCGAAUUUCCACCCAAUCAUCAUCUAAAUUAAUAUUUCAUUCAAUUUAUUAAUUUAAAUAAAAAAAAUUCAUUUCAUGCAAUUUGGUCACUUUUUGACAUUUUUACCAAUUUACCCUUGAAAUAUUACUUUUAUUCAAUUUAGUCCUUGAACCUAAAACAUGCAAAUUGGUCAUUUUUAAUGAAAACUCAUGUUAGUUGAAUAAUCAUUUAUUUUCCUCCUCCUCCUCUCCAUUCCACAUCCUUAAUGUAUAAUAUGCUUAUAUAUAACAUUAUCUAUAAUUCCACCAUUUAUUUAUAUAUUAAUUCAAAGCUGUCCACUUGAGUCAUAGUCACUAAAUUAUUUAUAUCUUGAGCUACGGAACUCCAAAUUAAGAUCCGCUAAAUUCCUAUGAAACUAGGCUCAAUAUCCUUUUAUUAUAAAAUUUUCAUAAUUUUUUGUUUAGCCAAUAAGUACAGUUUAUUCUUUAAAGUUUCCCCUGUUUCACUGUUUGACAGUUCCGACCCCUCUUCAUAAAAAAAAUAAUUAUCUCUUUGUACAGAAUUUGGAUGAUGUUUCCGUUUAUUUCUAUUGAAAAUAGACUCAUUCAGGAUUUUAAACAUAUAAAUUUAAGCCUCUAAAUAUUUUUAUUCAAUUUUUGAUGAUUUUCCAAAGUCAAAACAGGGGAACCCGAAUUCAUUCUGAUCUUGUCUCACAAAAUUUAUUAUAUCUCAUGAUUUACAAUUCCAUUACUUACACCGUUUCUUCUAUGAGAAACUAAACUUAAUAAGCUUUAAUUCUAUAUUUUUUUUCAUCCUCUAAUUCGAUUUCCACAAUUUAUGGUGAUUUUUCAAAGUUAACCUACUACUGCUGUCCAAAACUGUUUUAGUGCAAAGAUGUUAAUUACUAAAUUUAUAACUCCCUUAUUCCCUUUCUCUAUAAUAUUUCCCAUUAUUUUCACUUAUUUCCCUUCACUAAUAUAUCAAGAACAUAAUACUUUAUUUAAGAAAACUCUACUGUAACAUCAUUUCCAUACUUUUUCAACAAUAACAAACUUAAAAGUAUAUUGAAAUCUUGAUGUUCUUACCUUAUGCUAUUGAUUUCAAUUUUUAACUUGAUUUUCUCUCGCCUCCAGCUUCUAUUUCUUGAAUCUAACUUGACAUUCUAGCUCCCCAUCGUCUCCUUAUUA